CCUACGGGAGGCAGCAGUGAGGAAUAUUGGUCAAUGGACGAGAGUCUGAACCAGCCAAGUAGCAUGAAGGAUGACUGCCCUAUGGGUUGUAAACUUCUUUUAUAUGGGAAUAAAACGUUCCACGUGUGGGAUUUUGUAUGUACCAUAUGAAUAAGGAUCGGCUAACUCCGUGCCAGCAGCCGCGGUAAUACGGAGGAUCCGAGCGUUAUCCGGAUUUAUUGGGUUUAAAGGGAGCGUAGGUGGAUUGUUAAGUCAGUUGUGAAAGUUUGCGGCUCAACCGUAAAAUUGCAGUUGAAACUGGCAGUCUUGAGUACAGUAGAGGUGGGCGGAAUUCGUGGUGUAGCGGUGAAAUGCUUAGAUAUCACGAAGAACUCCGAUUGCGAAGGCAGUUCACUGGACUGCAACUGACACUGAGGCUCGAAAGUGUGGGUAUCAAACAGGAUUAGAUACCCUAGUAGUC
Molecule: ribosomal RNA, 460 nt
Filed under: uncultured bacterium
Lineage: Bacteria
Description: partial 16S ribosomal RNA
Rfam family: Bacterial small subunit ribosomal RNA
Source: RNAcentral